RNAcentral lists this microRNA precursor (79 nucleotides) under Cajanus cajan (pigeon pea). RNAcentral describes it as "miRNA gene-KK1_046219". The record is from RNAcentral. Lineage: Eukaryota; Viridiplantae; Streptophyta; Magnoliopsida; Fabales; Fabaceae.
CACCCAAUUCAAUACGCCCGUAUUGAAUUAGGGUUAAAAGCAACUUUUCAACUUCAAUACGGGCGUAUUGAAGUGAAUA